Etheostoma cragini (Arkansas darter) is the source of this 282-nucleotide long non-coding RNA. RefSeq lists it as uncharacterized. The transcript is spliced from 4 exons. Lineage: Eukaryota; Metazoa; Chordata; Actinopteri; Perciformes; Percidae. The record is from RefSeq and is a predicted model, not a curated record.
AUCUCGCUGAUACAAAAUCUGGUAUGAAACAUCCAAAAGAAUAUGAGUUGUGCAUGAAGGAAUCUACAGACAGCAGCCCAAAUGCAGCAACUUCAGGUACGACAGAAAAAAAAAAAAAUGCUGUGGACGUUGUUUCCUUCAUGAAUGAGUUUACUGUUUUAAUGACCCGAGGAUGGGAGUAGGAUUUGGUAUUUGGUUUCCGCAGAAUCGUAACCAGUGGAUUCGGUAUUCGGUCGAACCCCAAAAAUCUGGAUUUGGUGCAUCCCUAUCACAAACUAAAUA